Molecule: non-coding RNA, 171 nt
Organism: Clostridiales bacterium 42_27
Lineage: Bacteria; Bacillati; Bacillota; Clostridia; Eubacteriales
Source: Rfam
UAAAGAGAUAGAGGCGCGGAUUUUAUCAGUAUUUAUGGACGAGAGGCCCUGGCAGGCUGUCCAUAAAGAAAGGAAAAUCUGCCGAAGUGCUCUGAAAGGCCAGAUGACAGGGUACUGGGAUAACGCAGAAUAUGCGUUGUACUGUCACGGAUGUGGAGCGCUAUCGUAAGU